Molecule: ribosomal RNA, 433 nt
Filed under: uncultured bacterium
Lineage: Bacteria
Description: partial 16S ribosomal RNA
Rfam family: Bacterial small subunit ribosomal RNA
Source: RNAcentral
AGCGGACGCUGGCGGCAGGCCUAACACAUGCAAGUCGAACGGACCCUUCGGGGUUAGUGGCGGACGGGUGAGUAACACGUGGGAACGUGCCUUUAGGUUCGGAAUAGCUCCUGGAAACGGGUGGUAAUGCCGAAUGUGCCCUUCGGGGGAAAGAUUUAUCGCCUUUAGAGCGGCCCGCGUCUGAUUAGCUAGUUGGUGAGGUAACGGCUCACCAAGGCGACGAUCAGUAGCUGGUCUGAGAGGAUGACCAGCCACACUGGGACUGAGACACGGCCCAGACUCCUACGGGAGGCAGCAGUGGGGAAUCUUGCGCAAUGGGCGAAAGCCUGACGCAGCCAUGCCGCGUGAAUGAUGAAGGUCUUAGGAUUGUAAAAUUCUUUCACCGGGGACGAUAAUGACGGUACCCGGAGAAGAAGCCCCGGCUAACUUCGUG